CUCCGUGCCGGUCAGGUAGCCGGCCUCGCCGCUCUCGUCGGUGGUCGUCGGAAGGACGCGGGCCCGGAUCGUCACCGGGGCGCCGGGGCC
This 90-nucleotide transfer RNA is filed under the name Streptomyces noursei. Its description in RNAcentral is "tRNA-Glu". The record is from RNAcentral. Lineage: Bacteria; Bacillati; Actinomycetota; Actinomycetes; Kitasatosporales; Streptomycetaceae.